Molecule: ribosomal RNA, 436 nt
Filed under: uncultured Clostridium sp.
Lineage: Bacteria; Bacillati; Bacillota; Clostridia; Eubacteriales; Clostridiaceae
Description: partial 16S ribosomal RNA
Rfam family: Bacterial small subunit ribosomal RNA
Source: RNAcentral
ACGGAAGGCAGCAGUGGGGGAUAUUGCACAAUGGGGGAAACCCUGAUGCAGCGAUGCCGCGUGAGGGAAGAAGGUUUUCGGAUUGUAAACCUCUGUCUUUGGUGACGAAGAAGUGACGGUAGCCAAGGAGGAAGCCACGGCUAACUACGUGCCAGCAGCCGCGGUAAUACGUAGGUGGCAAGCGUUAUCCGGAAUUACUGGGUGUAAAGGGAGCGCAGGCGGGACUUCAAGUCAGCGGUGAAAAUUAUGGGCUCAACCCAUAAACUGCCGUUGAAACUGUAGUUCUUGAGUGGAGUAGAGGCAGGCGGAAUUCCGAGUGUAGCGGUGAAAUGCGUAGAUAUUCGGAGGAACACCAGUGGCGAAGGCGGCCUGCUGGGCUCUAACUGACGCUGAGGCUCGAAAGUGUGGGGAGCAAACAGGAUUAGAUACCCUGGUA